AGUGAACGCUGGCGGUAGGCCUAACACAUGCAAGUCGAACGGCAGCACAGUAAGAGCUUGCUCUUACGGGUGGCGAGUGGCGGACGGGUGAGGAAUACAUCGGAAUCUACUUUUUCGUGGGGGAUAACGUAGGGAAACUUACGCUAAUACCGCAUACGACCUACGGGUGAAAGCAGGGGAUCUUCGGACCUUGCGCGAUUGAAUGAGCCGAUGUCGGAUUAGCUAGUUGGCGGGGUAAAGGCCCACCAAGGCGACGAUCCGUAGCUGGUCUGAGAGGAUGAUCAGCCACACUGGAACUGAGACACGGGCCAGACUCCUACGGGAGCCAGCAGUGGGGAAUAUUGGACAAUGGGCGCAAGCCUGAUCCAGCCAUACCGCGUGAGUGAAGAAGGCCUUCGGGUUGUAAAGCCCUUUUGUUGGGAAAGAAAAGCAGCAGGUUAACACCCCGCUGUUCUGACGGUACCCAAAGAAUAAGCACCGGCUAACUUCGUG
RNAcentral lists this ribosomal RNA (492 nucleotides) under uncultured bacterium. RNAcentral's name for it is "partial 16S ribosomal RNA". It matches the Rfam family "Bacterial small subunit ribosomal RNA", at positions 29 to 507 of the family's 1533-position model. The record is from RNAcentral.